This 374-nucleotide ribosomal RNA is filed under the name uncultured organism. Its description in RNAcentral is "bacterial SSU rRNA". It matches the Rfam family "Bacterial small subunit ribosomal RNA", at positions 526 to 896 of the family's 1533-position model. The record is from RNAcentral.
CGUAGGGCGCAAGCGUUAUCCGGAAUUAUUGGGCGUAAAGAGCUCGUAGGCGGUUUGUCGCGUCUGCCGUGCAAGUCCGGGGCUCAACUCCGGAUCUGCGGUGGGUACGGGCAGACUAGAGUGAUGUAGGGGAGACUGGAAUUCCUGGUGUAGCGGUGAAAUGCGCAGAUAUCAGGAGGAACACCGAUGGCGAAGGCAGGUCUCUGGGCAUUAACUGACGCUGAGGAGCGAAAGCAUGGGGAGCGAACAGGAUUAGAUACCCUGGUAGUCCAUGCCGUAAACGUUGGGCACUAGGUGUGGGGGACAGUUCCACGUUUUCCGCGCCGUAGCUAACGCAUUAAGUGCCCCGCCCGGGGAGUACGGCCGCAAGGCUA